AUUGACUCACAAUUUUUAGAGGCUGUACACUCCAUUUAGAGUUAUUUUAAAGGAUUGGCUGUACUGCUCCUGUUGUACAGAAAAGUCUUGGAGAUAGUGGGGUUCUACUAGGCGUGUGUGUUAAAAUGAGCAGAGGGAAUGGGAACCCCGAUGUCCAUCAGGUCUGUUGGGAUCACCCCCCUUAUUUACAUUUGUUUUUUAUUAUGGUUGGUUUACAGUGUUCUGCCCAUUUCUGCCGCACAGCAGAGUGACCCAGUCGUACACACACAUUCUUUCUCUCAGUUUACCCUCCACCUGUUGCAUCACAAGUGAUUGGAUAUAGUUCCCGUGCAACACAGCAGGAUCCCAUUGCCCAUCCACUGCAAAUGUAACGGUUUCAUCUACGACCCCCAGACCCCCAGUCCAUCCCACUCCCUCCCCCCAGCAAACACAAGUCUGUCCUCCAAGUCCAGACUUAAAACCCUUUUUAAGAUACCGUAAGUUACACUGAAACUUUGGUCAGCAGAAUGGGAAUUUUUUUUUUAGUAGAUAUCAUUAGAAAAAUAAAGUAAUUUUCCAGCUGUGGUUCCCAAGUUCCCCAAAUUUAUGUCUUUAACCCACAGCUCUCUUCAAGCUUUAGAUUUAACCACGCGUAUUUAUUUAACAGCUCUUGAUGGAGUCCUCAGUGUGUGCCAGGCGCCAUCACACAGGGACAGACAGGGAAGUCCAUGUGCUGAUUCCGUAGUAGGGUGGGAUGGGUGGGGUUGGGGGCAGGGCAAGAACAGGACACUUACUCGGGAGGGCUGGAAGCCGAGGACCUGCAGGGGAAGGAGGCGUGUGUCCCUGCGCCCUGAGAGGGCGUGACCAGACUCAGCUGAGGCUACCUGAGGCUGCGCUGGGAUGUCUCCCGACCUGCGGAACUCUUGAGCCCUCCCUACGCCCAGCCGGCUGCUUGAGCCACAGAUGGGGGAGCCUUCCGUGAUCCCUGUCUCCCCCGUUUGGUCCGUGGCACUCAGUCCUGCGUCCUGCUUUUCUUCGUGUCGCUGGUCCCUGCCUGGUACAGGCCUCUGGCUGAUGUUGCGGCUCUGACUCGUUCUGCUUCACUCCAGGCCCUUCUCCAUACGGUGGCCAGAAACAGAGACUGCCUCCCGCCCUUCCGUGAAAACCCUUCCGUGCCUUCCCCCGGCACUCGGGAAAUUCAGCGUGCUCCUCACCAGCCCUGUGCCAUCCUUCCUGCUGAAGCUCCCGUCUAGCCUCCCCGGGGCCACUUUUCAGAAGAACCGUCUGGCCAGAGGCUGCGUCUCUUCUCUGCACUCCUGCCUGCCCUGCCUGCGGCUUCCUCCCUCUUCCUCCGGUGGGCCUGGAGCCCCUUCCCACCCCGCCUGGUUCCUGCAGGUGCCCCUUACGCUGGCCAUGUUUAGAUGAGAAGCCACUCACCUGGCUGUGCUCCCUGGGAGGGAGGUGAUGAUUCAGAAGGCCCACCCUCCUUCCCGCAGGGCUGGGGUUUUUGCAUAGGGGAUUUUUCUGUCAGUUAUUUUUUCCUCACCUUUUGGAGUAUUAAAAGAGCCGGGGCAGUGGUGUGUGUGUGUGUGUGUGUUGGUGUGUGUGUGUGUGUGUGUGUGUCGGGGCGGGGGGGUAGGUGCGGAGACCGUACCUCCUGGGGGGGCUCUCUCAUCCCCCCAGCCGGCUUACACCUCUCCCCUCCAGAGCCGGGGCAGUGGUGUGUGUGUGUGUGUGUGUGUGUCGGGGCGGGGGGGGGGGGCGGGGACCGUACCUCCUGGGGGGGCUCUCUGAUCCCCACAGCCGGCUUACGC
This 1793-nucleotide long non-coding RNA is filed under the name Sus scrofa (pig). RNAcentral describes it as "lncRNA (ENSSSCG00055021161.1)". The record is from RNAcentral. Lineage: Eukaryota; Metazoa; Chordata; Mammalia; Artiodactyla; Suidae.